RNAcentral lists this ribosomal RNA (253 nucleotides) under uncultured bacterium. Its description in RNAcentral is "partial 16S ribosomal RNA". It matches the Rfam family "Bacterial small subunit ribosomal RNA", at positions 524 to 776 of the family's 1533-position model. The record is from RNAcentral.
UACGUAGGGCGCAAGCGUUGUCCGGAAUUAUUGGGCGUAAAGAGCUCGUAGGCGGCUUGUCACGUCGAUUGUGAAAGCCCGAGGCUUAACCUCGGGUCUGCAGUCGAUACGGGCUAGCUAGAGUGUGGUAGGGGAGAUCGGAAUUCCUGGUGUAGCGGUGAAAUGCGCAGAUAUCAGGAGGAACACCGGUGGCGAAGGCGGGUCUCUGGGCCGUAACUGACGCUGAGGAGCGAAAGCGUGGGGAGCAAACAGG